RNAcentral lists this transfer RNA (71 nucleotides) under Acanthocepola krusensternii (red-spotted bandfish). Its description in RNAcentral is "tRNA-Gly". The record is from RNAcentral. Lineage: Eukaryota; Metazoa; Chordata; Actinopteri; Priacanthiformes; Cepolidae (in: ray-finned fishes).
AUCUUUCUAGUACAGAUUAGUAUAGGUGACUUCCAAUCACCAGGCCUUGGCUAAUAACCCAAGGAAAGAUA